Molecule: non-coding RNA, 603 nt
Organism: Pogona vitticeps (central bearded dragon)
Lineage: Eukaryota; Metazoa; Chordata; Lepidosauria; Squamata; Agamidae
Source: the annotation of a RefSeq genome assembly
ACAUGGGGCAGGUUUUUGUCCAGGUCUGUGUCACUGUGGAGGGUGUUCGGAGGUGGAACCGCUCUGACUGUCACAGGUCAGCCACCUGUACCGCCGAAAGUGCAUCUCUUCCCUCCAUCUCAGGAAGAGAUCAAGAUCAAGGGCAAAGGCACCCUGGUCUGUCUCGUAGAUGGCUUUCGCCCAACAAAGACUGUCCAAGUCAACUGGCAGGCUGAUGGGAAAGCCAUCUCCUCCGGAGUGCAAACCAGCGAGCCCACCAAACAAGGUGACAAGUAUAUGGCCACCAGUUACCUGACCGUCACUCCCUCAGACUGGGAAAACCAUCAGAGAUACAGCUGCAUAGUGACGCACGACGGGAAGACCUUCGAGGAGGUGGUGAAGCCAUCCACGUGUCCAUAAAUGUUGGAAAGUCUGGAUUUGGCUCUCCCGUGCCUGGCUCUAGGGAGGAAUCAUGCUUCCUUCAUGGGCCAAACCCUAAUGCGGAUUAAUUCAUAAAGGCACAUUUCCUUCCUAUGUAGUUCCUUUUCCCCAUCUUCUCUCUUCAAUUUCCUAUCCAUAUUGGCUUCUAUCGUUAGCACGUUAAUAAAAUGUUGAUCCAUUUCA